AGUCGACGGCGCACGGGAGCAAUCCUGGUGGCGAGUGGCGAACGGGUGAGUAAUAUAUCGGAACGUGCCCAGUCGUGGGGGAUAACGCAGCGAAAGCUGUGCUAAUACCGCAUACGAUCUAUGGAUGAAAGCGGGGGACUCGCAAGAGCCUCGCGCGAUUGGAGCGGCCGAUAUCAGAUUAGCUUGUUGGUGGGGUAAAAGCCCACCAAGGCGACGAUCUGUAGCUGGUCUGAGAGGACGACCAGCCACACUGGAACUGAGACACGGUCCAGACUCCUACGGGAGGCAGCAGUGGGGAAUUUUGGACAAUGGGCGCAAGCCUGAUCCAGCAAUGCCGCGUGCAGGAUGAAGGCCUUCGGGUUGUAAACUGCUUUUGUACGGAACGAAACGGUCUACUUUAAUACAGUGGGCUAAUGACGGUACCGUAAGAAUAAGCACCGGCUAACUACGUGCCAGCAGCCGCGGUAAUACGUAGGGUGCGAGCGUUAAUCGGAAUUACUGGGCGUAAAGCGUGCGCAGGCGGUUAUAUAAGACAGAUGUGAAAUCCCCGGGCUCAACCUGGGACCUGCAUUUGUGACUGUAUAGCUAGAGUACGGUAGAGGGGGAUGGAAUUCCGCGUGUAGCAGUGAAAUGCGUAGAUAUGCGGAGGAACACCGAUGGCGAAGGCAAUCCCCUGGACCUGUACUGACGCUCAUGCACGAAAGCGUGGGGAGCAAACAGGAUUAGAUACCCUGGUAGUCCACGCCCUAAACGAUGUCAACUGGUUGUUGGGUCUUCACUGACUCAGUAACGAAGCUUACGCGUGAAGUUGACCGCCUGGGGAGUACGGCC
RNAcentral lists this ribosomal RNA (831 nucleotides) under uncultured bacterium. Its description in RNAcentral is "SSU rRNA". It matches the Rfam family "Bacterial small subunit ribosomal RNA", at positions 60 to 887 of the family's 1533-position model. The record is from RNAcentral.